This 1486-nucleotide ribosomal RNA is filed under the name Kocuria sp. SS10.16. RNAcentral's name for it is "bacterial SSU rRNA". It matches the Rfam family "Bacterial small subunit ribosomal RNA". The record is from RNAcentral. Lineage: Bacteria; Bacillati; Actinomycetota; Actinomycetes; Micrococcales; Micrococcaceae.
AGAGUUUGAUCCUGGCUCAGGACGAACGCUGGCGGCGUGCUUAACACAUGCAAGUCGAACGAUGAUGCCCAGCUUGCUGGGCGGAUUAGUGGCGAACGGGUGAGUAAUACGUGAGUAACCUGCCCUUGACUCUGGGAUAAGCCUGGGAAACUGGGUCUAAUACUGGAUACUACCUCUUACCGCAUGGUGGGUGGUGGAAAGGGUUUUACUGGUUUUGGAUGGGCUCACGGCCUAUCAGCUUGUUGGUGGGGUAAUGGCUCACCAAGGCGACGACGGGUAGCCGGCCUGAGAGGGUGACCGGCCACACUGGGACUGAGACACGGCCCAGACUCCUACGGGAGGCAGCAGUGGGGAAUAUUGCACAAUGGGCGGAAGCCUGAUGCAGCGACGCCGCGUGAGGGAUGACGGCCUUCGGGUUGUAAACCUCUUUCAGUAGGGAAGAAGCGAGAGUGACGGUACCUGCAGAAGAAGCGCCGGCUAACUACGUGCCAGCAGCCGCGGUAAUACGUAGGGCGCAAGCGUUGUCCGGAAUAUUGGGCGUAAAGAGCUCGUAGGCGGUUUGUCGCGUCUGCUGUGAAAGCCCGGGGCUCAACCCCGGGUCUGCAGUGGGUACGGGCAGACUAGAGUGCAGUAGGGGAGACUGGAAUUCCUGGUGUAGCGGUGAAAUGCGCAGAUAUCAGGAGGAACACCGAUGGCGAAGGCAGGUCUCUGGGCUGUUACUGACGCUGAGGAGCGAAAGCAUGGGGAGCGAACAGGAUUAGAUACCCUGGUAGUCCAUGCCGUAAACGUUGGGCACUAGGUGUGGGGGACAUUCCACGUUUUCCGCGCCGUAGCUAACGCAUUAAGUGCCCCGCCUGGGGAGUACGGCCGCAAGGCUAAAACUCAAAGGAAUUGACGGGGGCCCGCACAAGCGGCGGAGCAUGCGGAUUAAUUCGAUGCAACGCGAAGAACCUUACCAAGGCUUGACAUUCACCGGACCGCCCCAGAGAUGGGGUUUCCCUUCGGGGCUGGUGGACAGGUGGUGCAUGGUUGUCGUCAGCUCGUGUCGUGAGAUGUUGGGUUAAGUCCCGCAACGAGCGCAACCCUCGUUCUAUGUUGCCAGCACGUGAUGGUGGGGACUCAUAGGAGACUGCCGGGGUCAACUCGGAGGAAGGUGGGGAUGACGUCAAAUCAUCAUGCCCCUUAUGUCUUGGGCUUCACGCAUGCUACAAUGGCCGGUACAAAGGGUUGCGAUACUGUGAGGUGGAGCUAAUCCCAAAAAGCCGGUCUCAGUUCGGAUUGAGGUCUGCAACUCGACCUCAUGAAGUCGGAGUCGCUAGUAAUCGCAGAUCAGCAACGCUGCGGUGAAUACGUUCCCGGGCCUUGUACACACCGCCCGUCAAGUCACGAAAGUUGGCAACACCCGAAGCCGGUGGCCUAACCCCUUGUGGGAGGGAGCCGUCGAAGGUGGGACUGGCGAUUGGGACUAAGUCGUAACAAGGUAACC